Long non-coding RNA from Monodelphis domestica (gray short-tailed opossum), 1363 nucleotides. RefSeq lists it as uncharacterized. Lineage: Eukaryota; Metazoa; Chordata; Mammalia; Didelphimorphia; Didelphidae. The record is from RefSeq and is a predicted model, not a curated record.
UCUGAGCCUCAGGGUUCACCUGGGUCACCCACAAGAUUUAUGAGGCCCAGCAGUUGCAUCUGAUUGGGACUGUUAGUCCUGGAGAAAACUGACACUCCCUCCUUCUCCCUCCUCCCCCAGCCCAGCACACAAAGUCCAGUAACUUUCCUGGUCCGUUCCCAGUGGCUGCCAAAGAGGCAGCAAAAUGGAUGACCUGUGCAGAUACCAAAGUGGACAUCAAUAAAAAGAGAUGGAUGUGGACUGGUGUGGAGUGACGUGUCUCACUGCUGGGGUGACUGGGGAAGGGGGAACAGGUUAAAAAAACACAGGAAAGUUAUUUAUAUAAGCUUCAAGGACAAGGAGUUUGUCACUACUUGCUGGAGGAUUUAAUCUUAAAGAAUGACUCUUUCUCCUGGCUUCCAUCAUGCUCUAGUUGACAAAAAAGCCUGCAAAGUUAUUGUAAUCAUUAGAUACCUUUGUUUGUUGGCUUAAGUGCAGGAAAUUGUAUUAAUGUUUUUGUCACCACAAGAGUGAUUCCACGGAGGGCUCUGAGAAACGUCAGAGCUUAGGCAGGAAGAAUGGAAGGUGACACACAAAAACAGAGCACCCAUUUCUAGAUUGAUUCAACAGGACUGGAACUCUUCGUGAUUCAUAAGAGCGUUUGAUGUUCUAAACAAUUAACUUUUUUUUCCCCUUAUGGAAACGGACAUAAGCUUUAAAAAGGACAGACUCACUUCUACACAGUCUCCAAAGGAAUGCUCUGGUCAUCAGGGAUUGGCAUUCCAGAAGUUCUGUCCUGGAUGUUGUGUUGCAAAGGCAAAGGGAUUACUGGAAACUGGUUUUGCUGCCAACAUCAGUAUCCUUUGGCAGGUUGGAGCGUGUGGAGUGAAUUUGGGGGAGAUGUUUGUAAGAGAGGAAAUUUAGACUCAUUCUGCCAGAGGAACAAGACAAGCGGGGUAAGGGCAAAUGGAACAGAGAAUUCCAGAGAAAGAACAGAGAAGAGCUGAGAAGAUUCAAGCAGUUAACUUCACUUCCCUUUGGGAAGCCUUUCAGAAAGGUUGCUCUGAAAGCACCUCUGAGCCCUGGUCAUCCUUCUGUGAAUCCAGACCCCCUGAAUCCAGCAGAAGACAACAGGAAUGGAUAGGACUUUUGAUAUAAAGCUAUCCAUCUCAAGAAGAUUUUCUCUACAUCCCUCCAAAUUCAGUUCCUGAAAUUCAAAUCAUAAGUAGGACAGUUAGAAGUCAGGGCAGCUCUCACAAAUGACCCCAGUGGGUCAGGCAGGCAAAGCCUGACUCUGUAGGAUUUGGGGAGAAGGGGUUCAAUUGUUAGUUUUUAGGAACUUCCUAUUUUCCAACUUUCCGGAUACCUUAUCCCUCAAUCUCAA